RNAcentral lists this ribosomal RNA (301 nucleotides) under uncultured bacterium. Its description in RNAcentral is "partial 16S ribosomal RNA". It matches the Rfam family "Bacterial small subunit ribosomal RNA", at positions 509 to 809 of the family's 1533-position model. The record is from RNAcentral.
CAGCAGCCGCGGUAAGACAGAGGAUGCAAGCGUUAUCCGGAAUGAUUGGGCGUAAAGCGUCUGUAGGUGGCUUUUCAAGUCCGCCGUCAAACCCCAGGGCUCAACCCUGGACAGGCGGUGGAAACUACCAAGCUGGAGUACGGUAGGGGCAGAGGGAAUUUCCAGUGGAGCGGUGAAAUGCGUUGAGAUCGAAAAGAACACCAACAGCGAAAGCACUCUGCUGGGACGACACUGACACUAAGAGACGAAAGCUAGGGGAGCAAAUGGGAUUAGAUACCCCUGUAGUCCCUGUCUCUUAUAA